UACAGAGGGUGCGAGCGUUGUUCGGAAUUAUUGGGCGUAAAGCGCUGGUAGGUGGCUUGUUAAGUCGCGUGUGAAAGCUCCCAGGCUCAACCUGGAAAGGGCGCGCGAAACUGGCGAGCUUGAGUGCCGGAGAGGGUCGCGGAAUUCCCGGUGUAGAGGUGAAAUUCGUAGAUAUCGGGAGGAACACCAGAGGCGAGGCGGCGACCUGAAGUAACUGACACGUGAGCAGCGAAAGCGUGGGGAAGCAACAGGG
This 253-nucleotide ribosomal RNA is filed under the name uncultured bacterium. RNAcentral describes it as "partial 16S ribosomal RNA". It matches the Rfam family "Bacterial small subunit ribosomal RNA", at positions 524 to 777 of the family's 1533-position model. The record is from RNAcentral.